This 76-nucleotide transfer RNA is filed under the name Actinobaculum massiliense ACS-171-V-Col2. RNAcentral describes it as "tRNA-Thr". It matches the Rfam family "tRNA". Rfam says of the family: Transfer RNA (tRNA) molecules are approximately 80 nucleotides in length. The record is from RNAcentral. Lineage: Bacteria; Bacillati; Actinomycetota; Actinomycetes; Actinomycetales; Actinomycetaceae.
GCCUCUGUAGCUCAGCUGGUAGAGCACCUGUCUUGUAAACAGGCGGUCGCAGGUUCGAAUCCUGUCGGGGGCUCAA